CUACGGGGUGCAGCAGUGGGGAAUAUUGCACAAUGGAGGGAACUCUGAUGCAGCAACGCCGCGUGGAGGAUGACGCAUUUCGGUGUGUAAACUCCUUUUAUAUAGGAAGAUAAUGACGGUACUAUAUGAAUAAGCACCGGCUAACUCCGUGCCAGCAGCCGCGGUAAUACGGAGGGUGCAAGCGUUACUCGGAAUCACUGGGCGUAAAGCGCAUGCAGGCGGUUAAAUAAGUUGGAAGUGAAAUCCUAUGGCUCAACCAUAGAACUGCUUCCAAAACUGUUUAACUAGAGUCUGGGAGGGGAAGAUGGAAUUAGUAGUGUAGGGGUAAAAUCCGUAGAGAUUACUAGGAAUACCAAAAGCGAAGGCGAUCUUCUGGAACAGUACUGACGCUGAGAUGCGAAAGCGUGGGGAGCAAACAGGAUUAGAUACCCGGGUAGUC
Molecule: ribosomal RNA, 439 nt
Filed under: uncultured bacterium
Lineage: Bacteria
Description: partial 16S ribosomal RNA
Rfam family: Bacterial small subunit ribosomal RNA
Source: RNAcentral